UUAACAGACAAAUGGAGUAUUACUUUCUUAGCCCAAAGUCAAAUAAAUCCAUGGAAAAGUCUCCCUUCUUCUUCCUUCCCCACAUCACACGCCUACUACUCCCUCCCCACUCCAAGAUCUUUUCAAAUUUCCAUCUUUAUCUACACCCCUGUUGUUGAAGAAAAAUCGAGAGAGAGAAGAAAGAGAUUUCAAGUUCCUAUCAAGUCGAGAGCGGCGGUGGCGCGUAGCAGCAGCAGUGGCGGCGGUGCAGCGGCGACGGCGGCUGAAGCAACGACAGCUGCUGUCCACAGAGAUCAGGCGGCAGCGGCAUCGGAUGGCGGUUGCGACCGGAGACAGCCAGCGAAAGAGAGAGAUUAGCCGUGAGUAGAGAUGUGAUAAGCUCGGAUUUGCACUGUUUUAAGGCCAAUAUUUGGUCCGUUUUUUAGUGUCUAAGUUGUAUUUCAUGUCAAUUAUUUGCAUAUUUUAUCUAUUUUGGUAUUUUGACGUAUUUUGUGAGAAAUAUGUAAAAUAGAGCUGAAAAAGGUUAUAAAAAUGUCAAAAUUCGAAAGCUGGAACUAAAGGGCAACCUAGCGGUCGCUGAAAAGCAUUCCAAAGAGCUCGGAAGCUGUCCACCGGCCCGCUGGGCCUGUUCGCGCGCGGUAAUCCUCGUUCAAACACAUUUUUCUGGCGAUUCUGACUUUCAAUCAGGUCUUUCUAGACACCAUUCUCUUCUUCUUCGAAAGAUCUUCACGAUGGUACCUUGAUCAUGUCAAUCGGAAUUCUGUGGAUAAAGUUGUCACCAUUUUACCAAAGUCGCGCAAUGCUGUCAAGAGCUGAAUUUAGGCGGAAAUUCAAGAAAGGAAAGAAACUAUUACCUUGUGAAGCCAAAUCUUUCCUUUAACCUAUGGGGCCCGUAAUUUCCAUCUUUCCUAUUACUUGGACGAUGCCUUUUACCAACUUUAAACUUUUUUCAAGCCUAUAUAUACCUCAUAGCCUAAUUCUUCAUCUAUCGUUCCAUCCUCGUGGAGAUUGGAGUAAAGCAAGAGAAGACUAAAGAUUGCACAACAAUUCAUCUUGGGUUUUGUUUACUUUUUCUUUAUAUUUUGUAUUUUAAUUUGUAGUUUUUGCUAUUUGUCUGUGAUUAGCUAAACUAUAAGAAUUCUUGGGAUGCGUUAGUAACUUUUAUUGGUUUAUACAAUUCCAGUUUUUGGUA
Long non-coding RNA from Salvia splendens (bonfire salvia), 1192 nucleotides. RefSeq lists it as uncharacterized. NCBI's taxonomy places the organism in Eukaryota, Viridiplantae, Streptophyta, Magnoliopsida, Lamiales, Lamiaceae. The transcript is spliced from 2 exons. The record is from RefSeq and is a predicted model, not a curated record.